AUAACAAUACUCUUUCCAGGCCCUGUAAUUGGAAUGAGUCCACUUUAAAUCUUUUAACGAGGAUCUAUUGGAGGGCAAGUCUGGUACUGAGCGACUGACCCGCGCGUGCUGCAGCUGAAA
This is a non-coding RNA of Pelobates cultripes (western spadefoot toad), 120 nucleotides long. The record is from the annotation of a GenBank genome assembly. NCBI's taxonomy places the organism in Eukaryota, Metazoa, Chordata, Amphibia, Anura, Pelobatidae.